AUGCUCACUUCGGCAGCACAUAUAUUAAAAUUGGAACAAUACAGAGAAAAUUAACAUGGCCCCUACACAAGGAUGAUACACAAAUUCGAAGAGCAUUCCAUAUUAAA
Molecule: small nuclear RNA, 107 nt
Filed under: Dasypus novemcinctus (nine-banded armadillo)
Lineage: Eukaryota; Metazoa; Chordata; Mammalia; Cingulata; Dasypodidae
Source: RNAcentral